Molecule: long non-coding RNA, 847 nt
Filed under: Lupinus angustifolius (narrow-leaved blue lupine)
Lineage: Eukaryota; Viridiplantae; Streptophyta; Magnoliopsida; Fabales; Fabaceae
Description: long non-coding RNA (LANG_LNC001046)
Source: RNAcentral
GGGUAUCAUGUUCAAAUCCUACAAAUUGACUUUUUCUGAAAUUUAAAUCAUUAUCUAAAACAGAGGAGAAACUAUGCCCAAAACAAUAUAUUGGCCAACACAUAAAAAGAUCAUAAACAAUCUAUUGACCAAUACAUGAAAGAUCACAGUAUAUAACGUAUGAACCAACUAAAAGAAGUCAUAGACAGAUAAAAUUUUACAAAAAUUCGGACCAAUAAUUUACAUAUUAUGAUAAUCUAUAAUAAAUCUAACCGGCAAAAUGAAGAUGGAUAAUUAUCUACGUUUAUUAUAACCAAAUAUCAUUUGCAACACUCACUUGGCAUAAUUGACAUUCAUCAUUCUAUUAAACGAGUGCCUGCAUAUUUGAAAGGCUCUUCAUACCUGCCUGGAAAAGAAGAGUGAAAAUCCCAUUAACAUUAUAACAUUUGUGUAAUUAAGAAUGUGAUAAAGUGGAGCUGUUAACUAAAUUGUACCCAUCUUGCAGAAGGUCCAAAACUGAAAUAAAUUACAGGACAUUUGAAAGAGUCUCCUCUCCAUUUUCCUAGUAAAUGGACAAAAUACAAAUGGACAGUAGUAUCUCACCCCUUCCCUAAGUUAAUUAUUGAAUCUAAUUUUGGCUCUAAACAGGAAAUGGAGAGGACCACAACAAAAUAUGAAGGAAAAAAAUGGUUGUUCAGUAUAUGAGGAUCAUAAUUAGUGGGGUUUGAGGAAAAUAGAUGUAUGCAACUUUACUUUACAAACGAAUAAGUUGUUUGAACCUAUGACCUGGUCACAAUGCAAGCAGCUUAUAGCAAGACUCACCCUCUACCACAAAAUCUGAAAGUGCAAAUAUAUUUCUCCUUAUUCA